GAGUUUGAUCAUGGCUCAGAUUGAACGCUGGCGGCAGGCCUAACACAUGCAAGUCGAGCGGUAGAGAGAAGCUUGCUUCUCUUGAGAGCGGCGGACGGGUGAGUAAUGCCUAGGAAUCUGCCUGGUAGUGGGGGAUAACGCUCGGAAACGGACGCUAAUACCGCAUACGUCCUACGGGAGAAAGCAGGGGACCUUCGGGCCUUGCGCUAUCAGAUGAGCCUAGGUCGGAUUAGCUAGUUGGUGAGGUAAUGGCUCACCAAGGCGACGAUCCGUAACUGGUCUGAGAGGAUGAUCAGUCACACUGGAACUGAGACACGGUCCAGACUCCUACGGGAGGCAGCAGUGGGGAAUAUUGGACAAUGGGCGAAAGCCUGAUCCAGCCAUGCCGCGUGUGUGAAGAAGGUCUUCGGAUUGUAAAGCACUUUAAGUUGGGAGGAAGGGCAGUAAAUUAAUACUUUAGCUGUUUUGUACGUUACCGACAGAAUAAGCACCGGCUAACUCUGUGCCAG
RNAcentral lists this ribosomal RNA (509 nucleotides) under uncultured bacterium. Its description in RNAcentral is "bacterial SSU rRNA". It matches the Rfam family "Bacterial small subunit ribosomal RNA", at positions 9 to 511 of the family's 1533-position model. The record is from RNAcentral.